This 492-nucleotide ribosomal RNA is filed under the name uncultured bacterium. Its description in RNAcentral is "partial 16S ribosomal RNA". It matches the Rfam family "Bacterial small subunit ribosomal RNA", at positions 29 to 507 of the family's 1533-position model. The record is from RNAcentral.
AGUGAACGCUGGCGGUAGGCCUAACACAUGCGAGUCGAACGGCAGCACAGUAAGAGCUUGCUCUUACGGGUGGCGAGUGGCGGACGGGUGAGGAAUACAUCGGAAUCUACUUUUUCGUGGGGGAUAACGUAGGGAAACUUACGCUAAUACCGCAUACGACCUACGGGUGAAAGCAGGGGAUCUUCGGACCUUGCGCGAUUGAAUGAGCCGAUGUCGGAUUAGCUAGUUGGCGGGGUAAAGGCCCACCAAGGCGACGAUCCGUAGCUGGUCUGAGAGGAUGAUCAGCCACACUGGAACUGAGACACGGUCUAGACUCCUACGGGAGGCAGCAGUGGGGAAUAUUGGACAAUGGGCGCAAGCCUGAUCCAGCCAUACCGCGUGGGUGAAGAAGGCCUUCGGGUUGUAGAGCCCUUUUGUUGGGAAAGAAAAGCAGCAGGUUAAUACCCCGCUGUUCUGACGGUACCCAAAGAAUAAGCACCGGCUAACUUCGUG